AGGAGGUCCAGUUUAAUAAAAGGAUGAGUUUGGCAACUGAAGAACUGCAGUUUCCAGCAAUUUCAGGCUUUCCUGUUCAACUGGCAGUCAAUGCCUCAGCAGCAAUCAACAUAAAAAUCAAAGGGAAUGCCAAUUUCAAACAACAGUCUGAUUUCUUUCUAAAUGGAUAUAUCAAGCCAAGUGCAUUUGUUCAGCUUUCUGUCCAAAUGGGAAUUGUGGGGACUCUGGGACAAGCUGGCCUAACGUGGUUAACAGGAAUGAGGACAUCUACUAGUCUUGAUGGGGGAAUCCAGGUGAAGAAAGGGAAAGAGCUCAAAGUUUUCUUGAACACGCCAGAAGACUCUAUGGAGAUCAUUAAUUUCAGCUCUAAACUCCACUUCAGAAUGGUGGAUGAAACAGAAAAUACAGAUGUCUUCCAAGACCACACAGAAACCAGAUCUUGCACUAG
This 448-nucleotide long non-coding RNA is filed under the name Chloebia gouldiae (Gouldian finch). Its description in RNAcentral is "Erythrura gouldiae (Gouldian finch) lncRNA (ENSEGOG00005006784.1)". Lineage: Eukaryota; Metazoa; Chordata; Aves; Passeriformes; Passeridae. The record is from RNAcentral.